GACGAACGCUGGCGGCGUGCUUAACACAUGCAAGUCGAACGGAAAGGCCCUGCUUUUGUGGGGUGCUCGAGUGGCGAACGGGUGAGUAACACGUGAGUAACCUGCCCUUGACUUUGGGAUAACUUCAGGAAACUGGGGCUAAUACCGGAUAGGAGCUCCUGCUGCAUGGUGGGGGUUGGAAAGUUUCGGCGGUUGGGGAUGGACUCGCGGCUUAUCAGCUUGUUGGUGGGGUAGUGGCUUACCAAGGCUUUGACGGGUAGCCGGCCUGAGAGGGUGACCGGCAACAUUGGGACUGAGAUACGGCCGAGAAUCCUACGGGAGGCAGCAGUGGGGAAUAUUGCACCAUGGGCGGAAGCCUGAUGCAGCAACGCCGCGUGCGGGAUGACGGCCUUCGGGUUGUAAACCGCUUUCGCCUGUGACGAAGCGUGAGUGACGGUAAUGGGUAAAGAAGCACCGGCUAACUACGUG
RNAcentral lists this ribosomal RNA (468 nucleotides) under uncultured bacterium. RNAcentral describes it as "partial 16S ribosomal RNA". It matches the Rfam family "Bacterial small subunit ribosomal RNA", at positions 28 to 507 of the family's 1533-position model. The record is from RNAcentral.